GCACAAGCGGUGAUGAUGUGGAUUAAUUCGAUGCAACGCGAAAAACCUUACCUACCCUUGACAUGUCUGGAACCUUGGUGAGAGCCGAGGGUGCCUUCGGGAGCCAGAACACAGGUGCUGCAUGGCUGUCGUCAGCUCGUGUCGUGAGAUUGUUGGGUUAAGUCCCGCAACGAGCGCAACCCUUUGUCAUUAGUUGCCAUCAUUUGGUUGGGCACUCUAAUGAGACUGCCGGUGACAAACCGGAGGAAGGUGGGGAUGACGUCAAGUCCUCAUGGCCCUUAUGGGUAGGGCUUCACACGUCAUACAAUGGUCGGUACAGAGGGUUGCCAACCCGCGAGGGGGAGCUAAUCCCACAAAGCCGAUCGUAGUCCGGAUCGCAGUCUGCAACUCGACUGCGUGAAGUCGGAAUCGCUAGUAAUCGUGGAUCAGCAUGUCACGGUGAAUACGUUCCCGGGUCUU
RNAcentral lists this ribosomal RNA (459 nucleotides) under uncultured Rhodocyclaceae bacterium. RNAcentral describes it as "bacterial SSU rRNA". It matches the Rfam family "Bacterial small subunit ribosomal RNA", at positions 923 to 1382 of the family's 1533-position model. Lineage: Bacteria; Pseudomonadati; Pseudomonadota; Betaproteobacteria; Rhodocyclales; Rhodocyclaceae. The record is from RNAcentral.